AGCCUCGUCGACUACUGGCGCUUCACGCAGGACGACGUGCUGAUCCAUGCGCUGCCGAUCUAUCACACGCAUGGCCUGUUCGUGGCGAGCAAUGUCACGCUGUUCGCGCGCGCAUCGAUGAUCUUCCUGCCGAANGCUCGAUCCCGAACUGAUUAUCAAGCUCAUGCAGCGCGCCACCGUGCUGAUGGGCGUGCCGACCUUCUACACACGGCUGCUGCAAUCACCGAACCUGACGAAAGACUCCACCUCGCCCAUGCGGC
This 260-nucleotide unclassified non-coding RNA is filed under the name Hevea brasiliensis (rubber tree). Lineage: Eukaryota; Viridiplantae; Streptophyta; Magnoliopsida; Malpighiales; Euphorbiaceae. The record is from RNAcentral.